CAAGCAACAAUCUUGACCAUGUCGUCUCCCAUAACCAUGGUUAAAGAGGAAUCAAUGGUGGUGGAAACAUCACUGCAUCGGAAGUCAACUGACACUAGAGGGACAUCACAAACAUCCAAUAUGCCAUUCAAUGGACCAUCAGCUGACUUUCUGAAAGCUGCAUUGACAUCUUCAGCUGUAAUUCCUUUCUUCUCAACAUUGAUAACGAGGUCAACGACUGAAACAUUAGGUGUUGGAACUCGGAGAGC
Molecule: long non-coding RNA, 248 nt
Filed under: Capsicum annuum
Lineage: Eukaryota; Viridiplantae; Streptophyta; Magnoliopsida; Solanales; Solanaceae
Description: long non-coding RNA (CANN_LNC018427)
Source: RNAcentral